GAAGAAGAAGAAGAAGAAGAAGAAGAAGAAGAAGAAGAAGAAGAAGAAGAAGAAGAAGAAGAAGAAGAAGAAGAAGGUCCUUUCAAGCCAAGUCUCCAAUGCCACAAUUGAAGUUAAGCAAUUGGCAUCAAGGAAAUAUGUUCAGGCUUAAAAUGGAGAAGACAACUGAAAAAUUGUAGAAACAGACCUACGGAGUCAAUUGACCGACCUUCAUUCAAUCGAAGCUCUGUAGGUGAAGGUCGUAGAUGAGAAGCCCAGACUUUGGAUAAAAUUAGGGAAGUCUAACCAAAUGUGGAACCACGAUUAGAAUCGACUCUCCGUUGAUCGAUCGACGAACCGUACUAAUGAACCGUAAUUUGUGAUUGUGAUGGUUCUAGUACCUGAUAUUUGAGGAAUAUAAGUAUGGAGUGAUGGAGAAGCAUAGACGGACCAUAGAUGGAAUGAAAAACCGUAAUGUUGGUCCAUAAUUUCAUUCAGAGAGGGUGUCAUCCAAACAGCAAAAAUAUUUUCUAUGUCUUGGCUGACGGAAGCAAAUAAUGGAUCGUCGAUCGACGACCCAUUAGUUGUCUCAUCAAUUGAAGACUUUUGCCUGAACAAAACUUUUGUUAUUUGAAUUCUUUUUAUUAAGACUUUGUUUUCUAUAAAUAGGGAAUAAAGACAUCAUUUUGGGGGUUGGCUAUUA
This is a long non-coding RNA of Solanum pennellii, 682 nucleotides long. RefSeq lists it as uncharacterized. Lineage: Eukaryota; Viridiplantae; Streptophyta; Magnoliopsida; Solanales; Solanaceae. The transcript has 2 exons. The record is from RefSeq and is a predicted model, not a curated record.